This 539-nucleotide ribosomal RNA is filed under the name uncultured fungus. RNAcentral describes it as "eukaryotic LSU rRNA". It matches the Rfam family "Eukaryotic large subunit ribosomal RNA", at positions 23 to 510 of the family's 3401-position model. The record is from RNAcentral. Lineage: Eukaryota; Fungi.
ACCCGCUGAACUUAAGCAUAUUACUAAGCGGAGGAAAAGAAAUCAACGAAGAUUGCCUCAGUAGCGGCGAGUGAAGCGGCAAUAGCUCAAGUUUAGAAUCUGUAGUCGUUUCGGCUACCGAAUUGUAAUCUAAAGGGGUUAACAAAAGGGGAAGUCGAAGCAUAAGUUCCUUGGAAAAGGACGUCAAAGAGGGUGAAAACCCCGUAUGCAGCUUUGACUGAACUGAAUGUUGGCUUUCUAAGAGUCGGGUUGUUUGGGAUUGCAGCCCUAAAUGGGAGAUAAACUUCUUCUAAGGCUAAAUAUCUAUGGGAAACCGAUAGCGAACAAGUACUGUGAAGGAAAGGUGAAAAGAACUUUGAAAAGAGGGUUAAAAGACUUGAAAUCGUUGAGAAGGAAGCAGUAAAAGUGGAUUUGAGUUAGCUAUGAAGUAAGCUAUGUGAGGACCGGCUUGAGGUGGCUGAUGUACGUCAUUGGCUAAGCUGCUUCAAAGUAACGGCACUCUAUGGUGAUUUCAUAGCUAAAGGGCAGAACCAGGUCUU